Molecule: long non-coding RNA, 1353 nt
Organism: Oreochromis niloticus (Nile tilapia)
Lineage: Eukaryota; Metazoa; Chordata; Actinopteri; Cichliformes; Cichlidae
Exons: 6
Source: RefSeq, a predicted model, not a curated record
AAAAAAACAAAUAAACGGACACUUAUUUUUUGUCUCUAGUAGAAAACACCUCUCAAAGCAGAGGAGUGUGUGUUUGAAGGAGGGACCACGAAAUUUGAAGUUCCUGGUUUGCAAACAGAGAAGAAAGAGAAGCAGCAUUAAACAUUAAGCCGUCAGAACCUCGAGAUGAAACUCUGUCACAUUUUGCUCUACUCCAUCUUCCUCUACCUGCAGGAUGGAAACACUGGACUUGCCAACGCUGAAACUCCCGUCUAUGAAGGAGUGGAAGGAGGAAACAUCACAGCUGAAUGCCGGAUUUAUUUCUCUGGAAGCACGAUGUCACUCUGCAAGGAAAAAUGUGAAACAGGAAACGUUCUCAUUGAAACAACUGGUUACACAGCUCAGAGCGGCAGAUACAGCAUUAAAUUUGAAAAAAAAUAUUUUUCAUCAAGUAUUGUGUAUGUGAGCAUCACACAGCUACAGAAGUCUGACUCAGGACAGUACAUGUGUACUUUGGGUUCAAAAUCAGGCAAUUUUAACAUUGUUGUCACAGAAGCUUCAGAUACUUCAACAACAAAUCAGCCUUUAUCAACAUCAACAUUUCUCCUGUCGGCCUCCACAACAACAACAACACAGCAUUUGAACUUCAGUUCAAGAAGCUUCACAGCUUCAUCAACCUCCUCUGAAGUCUCCAGACAGCCUCAAACAGCUGCAGGUUCAAAUAAGCUGCUUCAUGUGAUUCUGAUUCUGGUCGCUAUGAUCACCAUCUUAUCAGCAGCUUUGCUGAUUUUCUACAAGCACAGGAAGAAUAAACCAAAAGGACCUCCUGUGAAAACUGAACAUGCUGACAUCACACAGGCCAACUGGCUUUAUGGAAACAUCACAGAGGAUGAAACUCAGAACAGUGUAAUUCCUGUGCGGGUGUCUUCAGUUCAUGACUACCCCGAAGGCUCGCAACCAGAUGGAGUUGAAAACCAAGAGCAUUACAGCCUCGUCACCGCUCCUCAGAACACGGUAAAUAAAAUCAUGGUUUGAUUUUAAACUCUGAGGUCAGAAACAAUGACCGGUGCAGCAUUUUGGGCAGUAAACUAAUUCACUAGUUGUCUGGAUGAAUCAAGCUGACAUAGCAACAGGCCACUUUCUGAAGCUUGUAUUGAAAAGGGUUCAUUACUCGAAGGUUUUCGACACAGUGCUCUUUGGUGACAUCUGGUGGCCAAAAAUAUGAAGCGCAGAGCAAUUUAAUAUGAACUGCUUCAUUGUGAUUACCCGCUCGACCUGAGCUAACAGCUUCUGUUUAAUAUUAUGUGACAAUUCUGUGUGAUAUCGGACUAUCGCUGUGGUGCUUUGAACAUGUACUUUUGAAGGAUGAAAAAG